AUGGAGAGAAUGACAUCCUCCUACUUCAAGGAGAUCUUUACUAAGGACCCAACCCUUUCACCGGAUGGGGUUCUUGAUUGUAUACAGCCUAAAGUUUCAGUGGAGAUGAAUGAAUCACUGUGUAGACCUUACACCGAGGAGGAAAUCUCGGAUGCUUUGUUCCAGAUCGGGCCCCUCAAAGCCCCGGGCUGCAAUGGCCUCCCGGCCAGGUUUUACCAGCGCAACUGGGGUUUAGUCAAAACGGAGAUUAUUGCUGCAGUUCAACAGUUCUUCUUAUCUGGUGUGAUGCCUGAUGGUGUGAACGACACAACUAUAGUGCUUAUUCCUAAAGUUCCCCACCCGCAGGAACUGAAAGAUUUCCGCCCUAUUAGCCUGUGUAAUGUGCUUUAUAAGGUGGUCUCCAAGUGUUUGGUGAACAGACUCCGGCCUCUUCUGACAGAACUUAUAUCUGAAAACCAGAGUGCUUUCAUCCCAGGACGUUUGAUCUCUGAUAAUUUGAUGAUUGCCUUCGAAUGCAUCAAUCAUAUACAAUCUGUACGGCACUCGGGCCCCGGGCUGUGUGCGUACAAACUAGACCUGUCGAAGGCCUACGAUCGUGUGGACUGGGAUUUCUUGGAGCGGGCUUUGGCAAAAUGGGGUUUCUCUCCUGUGUGGAUCUCCCGUGUCAUGGCGUGUGUUUCAUCUGUGAAGUAUGCGGUGAAGUUUAAUGGGAAGCUGUUGGAUUCUUUUUCUCCCUCAAGAGGACUCCGUCAAGGUGACCCGUUAUCUCCCUUCCUCUUCUUGUUUGUUGCUGAUGCUCUAUCCUCCUUGAUUCAUAAGGCGACGCAACAAGAUGGCCUUGAAGGGAUAAGAAUAUGCAGGGGGGCACCGGAAAUUUCCCACCUUCUGUUUGCAGAUGAUUCCCUACUGUUCUUCCAGGCAACAGAACAGCAGGCACUAUUAGUGAAAGGUUUGUUGAACACGUUUGCGACGGCGACUGGUCAGCUGAUAAACCCGUCCAAAUGUUCCAUCCUCUUCUCAAACCAGUGCCAACAAGUUGUUGCUACGCAAGUUAAAAAUAUUCUGGAAGUUACCCAGGAAGCUUUUGAGCCCAAAUAUUUGGGGUUGCCGAUACCUGAAGGCAGGAUGCACAAGGGAAAGUUUGUGUCAUUACAGGAACGGCUAAGGAAAGUUCUUGUCGACUGGAGUGAGCAAUACAUGUCUUCUGGCAACAAAGAGGUUCUGAUCAAGGCGGUAGCUCAGGCCAUUCCGACCUAUCUUAUGAGUAUUUUCAAAAUCCCCUACUCAGUGUGUGAUGACCUGACUCGUAUGAUUCGCCAAUACUGGUGGGGGUGGAGAACGACAAAAGGAAAAUGGCUUGGAUGA
This 1365-nucleotide ribosomal RNA is filed under the name Triticum aestivum (bread wheat). RNAcentral's name for it is "partial small subunit ribosomal RNA". Lineage: Eukaryota; Viridiplantae; Streptophyta; Magnoliopsida; Poales; Poaceae. The record is from RNAcentral.